Molecule: long non-coding RNA, 704 nt
Organism: Cyprinus carpio (common carp)
Lineage: Eukaryota; Metazoa; Chordata; Actinopteri; Cypriniformes; Cyprinidae
Exons: 4
Source: RefSeq, a predicted model, not a curated record
CAUGCCACAUAAAAAAAAAAAAAAGUCACAGGUUUAUUAAUUUCAUUUUCUAGUUUGCAGCUAAAUUGUGUAAAUGUAAUUUAUUUUCUUUAUCCAGUCAGUGACAUAAGUGAAACAACAUGAAACCUACAAUGGUGAGGUGAAUUCAGAAGACUUCUGGGAGACUCUUUCAAUGGAGAGGAUUGCAGCUGGCUUGUUGAAAACUGGGGACAGAAAUCCUUACAAUAUAAACCCCAAUUUUGAAUACUGGGCCCCCUGGAUCGGCAGAUACACACACAAGGCACCAAUUGUGUUAAACAGAGUGGCAAAAGGUGCAGAGCACAAGUGCACAAGACCUCAUCACUGAAAUGGACAUAACAGAGGAAAGACUGAAGACUGAAUUAAUUAAGCUAAAGACAUUUUAAAACUUUGCAAGGCCUGUGGAUUUGGCAUUCAAGGAUCAAAGACUGAUCUUCUAUCCAGACUGAGAGGACAGAUGCAAACCAGAACUGCAUAUGACACAAUAUUUCAGAAAGUUUGGGGAGCAUCAGGUGGAUGGGCAGUCAUUUUAUGCCCUUGUGGUGUGGUACAGUGUGAAAUGUCUCAUCCGUGCUGAAAGUCCUUGAGACUUUUCUGACAUGUUGUUCUCUUGGAAACACAUGCCAAACAUCUGCAUUUAUGAUUUUGCCAGAGGACUGGCCACCCAUGCCAAUGUUCGGAGACCA